Molecule: long non-coding RNA, 225 nt
Filed under: Lathyrus oleraceus (garden pea)
Lineage: Eukaryota; Viridiplantae; Streptophyta; Magnoliopsida; Fabales; Fabaceae
Description: Pisum sativum (pea) long non-coding RNA (PSAT_LNC015493)
Source: RNAcentral
CUUUUCUCCCCCUACCACUACCAGUUUCUUAUUCUUCACAAAUUUCAGUUUCUGGUGUAGGGUGGAUGUCACGGCACCCGCCUCGUGAAUCCAUGGUCUGCCUAGAAGACAGCUGUACGAUGGGUGAAUGUCUAUAACCUGGAAGGUAAUUUGGAAAUCACUUGGUCCAAUCUUGAUUGGGAGAUCAACUUCCCCAAUCACAGUCUUACGUGACCCAUCAAAAGC